UUAAGCGACUAAGCGUACACGGUGGAUGCCCAGGCAGUCAGAGGCGAUGAAGGGCGUGCUAAUCUGCGAUAAGCGUCGGUAAGGUGAUAUGAACCGCAACAACCGACGAUACCCGAAUGGGGAAACCCAGUGCAAUCCGUUGCACUAUCAUGUCAUGAAUACAUAGUGGCAUGAGGCGAACCGGGGGAACUGAAACAUCUAAGUACCCCGAGGAAAAGAAAUCAACCGAGAUUCCCCCAGUAGCGGCGAGCGAACGGGGAACAGCCCAGAACCUGAAUCAGUUUGUGCCUUAGUGGAAGCGUCUGGAAAGUCGCGCAGUAAAGGGUGACAGCCCCGUACACAAAAAGGCACUUGCUGUGAGUUCGAUGAGUAGGGCGGGACACGUGACAUCCUGUCUGAAUAUGGGGGGACCAUCCUCCAAGGCUAAAUACUCCUGACUGACCGAUAGUGAACCAGUACCGUGAGGGAAAGGCGAAAAGAACCCCGGCGAGGGGAGUGAAACAGAACCUGAAACCGUGUACGUACAAGCAGUGGGAGCACCUUCGUGGUGUGACUGCGUACCUUUUGUAUAAUGGGUCAGCGACUUAUAUUCUGUAGCAAGGUUAACCGUAUAGGGGAGCCGCAGGGAAACCGAGUCUUAACUGGGCGUUAAGUUGCAGGGUAUAGACCCGAAACCCGGUGAUCUAGCCAUGGGCAGGUUGAAGGUUGGGUAACACUAACUGGAGGACCGAACCGACUAAUGUUGAAAAAUUAGCGGAUGACCUGUGGCUGGGGGUGAAAGGCCAAUCAAACCGGGAGAUAGCUGGUUCUCCCCGAAAGCUAUUUAGGUAGCGCCUCGUGAAUUCAUCUCCGGGGGUAGAGCACUGUUUCGGCUAGGGGGCCAUCCCGGCUUACCAACCCGAUGCAAACUGCGAAUACCGGAGAAUGUUAUCACGGGAGACACACGGCGGGUGCUAACGUCCGUCGUGAAGAGGGAAACAACCCAGACCGCCAGCUAAGGUCCCAAAGUCAUGGUUAAGUGGGAAACGAUGUGGGAAGGCACAGACAGCCAGGAUGUUGGCUUAGAAGCAGCCAUCAUUUAAAGAAAGCGUAAUAGCUCACUGGUCGAGUCGGCCUGCGCGGAAGAUGUAACGGGGCUAAACCAUGCACCGAAGCUGCGGCAGCGGACGUAUCACCCAAGCAGAUUCACUGAAGUGGAUAACGAUUGACGGAGCGCAGCGACGUCAAUGCGCCAUCAAAGUCGAGUCGACUUCGGGAUACGUCCGUUGGGUAGGGGAGCGUUCUGUAAGCCGUCGAAGGUGUGCUGUGAGGCAUGCUGGAGGUAUCAGAAGUGCGAAUGCUGACAUAAGUAACGAUAAAGCGGGUGAAAAGCCCGCUCGCCGGAAGACCAAGGGUUCCUGUCCAACGUUAAUCGGGGCAGGGUGAGUCGACCCCUAAGGCGAGGCCGAAAGGCGUAGUCGAUGGGAAACGGGUUAAUAUUCCCGUACUGGGUGUUACUGCGAAGGGGGGACGGAGAAGGCUAUGUUAGCCGGGCGACGGUUGUCCCGGUUUAAGCGUGCAGGCUUGAGUUCCAGGCAAAUCCGGAACUCUUUAAGGCUGAGGCGUGAUGACGAGGCACCACGGUGCUGAAGUAACAAAUGCCCUGCUUCCAGGAAAAGCCUCUAAGCAUCAGGUAACAUCCAAUCGUACCCCAAACCGACACAGGUGGUCAGGUAGAGAAUACCAAGGCGCUUGAGAGAACUCGGGUGAAGGAACUAGGCAAAAUGGUGCCGUAACUUCGGGAGAAGGCACGCUGGCGCGUAGGUGAAGCGACUUGCUCGUGGAGCUGAAGCCAGUCGAAGAUACCAGCUGGCUGCAACUGUUUAUUAAAAACACAGCACUGUGCAAACACGAAAGUGGACGUAUACGGUGUGACGCCUGCCCGGUGCCGGAAGGUUAAUUGAUGGGGUUAUCCGUAAGGAGAAGCUCUUGAUCGAAGCCCCGGUAAACGGCGGCCGUAACUAUAACGGUCCUAAGGUAGCGAAAUUCCUUGUCGGGUAAGUUCCGACCUGCACGAAUGGCGUAAUGAUGGCCAGGCUGUCUCCACCCGAGACUCAGUGAAAUUGAACUCGCUGUGAAGAUGCAGUGUACCCGCGGCAAGACGGAAAGACCCCGUGAACCUUUACUACAGCUUGACACUGAACAUUGAGCCUUGAUGUGUAGGAUAGGUGGGAGGCUUUGAAGCGUGGACGCCAGUCUGCGUGGAGCCAACCUUGAAAUACCACCCUUUAACGUUUGAUGUUCUAACCUGGCGCCGUAAUCCGGCGUGGGGACAGUGUCUGGUGGGUAGUUUGACUGGGGCGGUCUCCUCCCAAAGAGUAACGGAGGAGCACGAAGGUCAGCUAAUCACGGUCGGACAUCGUGAGGUUAGUGCAAUGGCAUAAGCUGGCUUGACUGCGAGAGUGACGGCUCGAGCAGGUGCGAAAGCAGGUCAUAGUGAUCCGGUGGUUCUGAAUGGAAGGGCCAUCGCUCAACGGAUAAAAGGUACUCCGGGGAUAACAGGCUGAUACCGCCCAAGAGUUCAUAUCGACGGCGGUGUUUGGCACCUCGAUGUCGGCUCAUCACAUCCUGGGGCUGAAGUAGGUCCCAAGGGUACGGCUGUUCGCCGUUUAAAGUGGUACGCGAGCUGGGUUUAGAACGUCGUGAGACAGUUCGGUCCCUAUCUGCCGUGGGCGCUGGAAGAUUGAGAGGGGUUGCUCCUAGUACGAGAGGACCGGAGUGAACGCACCGCUGGUGUUCGGGUUGUCAUGCCAAUGGCAUUGCCCGGUAGCUAAGUGCGGAAAAGAUAAGCGCUGAAAGCAUCUAAGCGCGAAACUUGCCUCGAGAUGAAUCUUCCCUGACUCCUUGAGAGUCCUGAAGGGACGUUGAAGACGACGACGUUGAUAGGCCGGGUGUGUAAGCGCAGCGAUGCGUUGAGCUAACCGGUACUAAUGACCCGUGAGGCUUAACCUU
This 2991-nucleotide ribosomal RNA is filed under the name Erwinia amylovora. Its description in RNAcentral is "23S ribosomal RNA". It matches the Rfam family "Bacterial large subunit ribosomal RNA". The record is from RNAcentral. RNAcentral also lists the same sequence under 1 other name. Lineage: Bacteria; Pseudomonadati; Pseudomonadota; Gammaproteobacteria; Enterobacterales; Erwiniaceae.